Molecule: ribosomal RNA, 903 nt
Filed under: Ramularia eucalypti
Lineage: Eukaryota; Fungi; Ascomycota; Dothideomycetes; Mycosphaerellales; Mycosphaerellaceae
Description: eukaryotic LSU rRNA
Rfam family: Eukaryotic large subunit ribosomal RNA
Source: RNAcentral
GCUGAACUUAAGCAUAUCAAUAAGCGGAGGAAAAGAAACCAACAGGGAUUGCCCUAGUAACGGCGAGUGAAGCGGCAACAGCUCAAAUUUGAAAUCUGGCGCAAGCCCGAGUUGUAAUUUGUAGAGGAUGCUUCUAGGUAGCGACCGGUCUAAGUUCCUUGGAACAGGACGUCAUAGAGGGUGAGAAUCCCGUAUGUGACCGGCCCGCACCUUCUACGUAGCUCCUUCGACGAGUCGAGUUGUUUGGGAAUGCAGCUCUAAAUGGGAGGUAAAUUUCUUCUAAAGCUAAAUACCGGCCAGAGACCGAUAGCGCACAAGUAGAGUGAUCGAAAGAUGAAAAGCACUUUGGAAAGAGAGUUAAAAAGCACGUGAAAUUGUUGAAAGGGAAGCGCUCACAACCAGACUUCUGGGCGGUGUUCCGCCGGUCUUCUGACCGGUCUACUCACCGUCCCGAGGCCAACAUCAUCUGGGACCGCCGGAUAAGACCUUAGGAAUGUAGCUCCCCUCGGGGAGUGUUAUAGCCUGUGGUGAUGCGGCGCGUCUCGGGUGAGGUCCGCGCUUCGGCAAGGAUGUUGGCGUAAUGGUUGUCAGCGGCCCGUCUUGAAACACGGACCAAGGAGUCUAACAUCUAUGCGAGUGUUCGGGUGUCAAACCCCUACGCGUAAUGAAAGUGAACGGAGGUGGGAAGGGUAACCUGCACCAUCGACCGAUCCUGAUGUCCUCGGAUGGAUUUGAGUAAGAGCAUAGCUGUUGGGACCCGAAAGAUGGUGAACUAUGCCUGAAUAGGGUGAAGCCAGAGGAAACUCUGGUGGAGGCUCGCAGCGGUUCUGACGUGCAAAUCGAUCGUCAAAUUUGGGUAUAGGGGCGAAAGACUAAUCGAACCAUCUAGUAGCUGGGUCCUGC